CAUGGUUGUCGUCAGCUCGUGUCGUGAGAUGUUGGGUUAAGUCCGCAACGAGCGCAACCCCUAUUGUUAGUUGCCAUCAUUCAGUUGGGCACUCUAGCGAGACUGCCGGUAUAAACCGGAGGAAGGUGGGGAUGACGUCAAAUCAUCAUGCCCCUUAUGACCUGGGCUACACACGUGCUACAACGGUUGGUACAACGAGUUGCGAGUCGGUGACGGCGAGCUAAUCUCUUAAAGCCAAUCUCAGUUCGGAUUGUAGGCUGCAACUCGCCUACAUGAAGUCGGAAUCGCUAGUAAUCGCGGAUCAGCACGCCGCGGUGAAUACCGUUCCCGGGCCUU
RNAcentral lists this ribosomal RNA (336 nucleotides) under uncultured Streptococcus sp. RNAcentral describes it as "bacterial SSU rRNA". It matches the Rfam family "Bacterial small subunit ribosomal RNA", at positions 1044 to 1382 of the family's 1533-position model. The record is from RNAcentral. Lineage: Bacteria; Bacillati; Bacillota; Bacilli; Lactobacillales; Streptococcaceae.